GCUGGGCACGGUGGCGCAUGCCUGUAAUCCCAGCGGCUCAGGAGGCUGAGGCAAGAGGAUCACAGGUUCAAAGCCAGCCUCAGCAACAGCGAGGCACUAAGCAACUCAGUGAGACCCUGUCUCUA
This 125-nucleotide small RNA is filed under the name Marmota monax (woodchuck). Lineage: Eukaryota; Metazoa; Chordata; Mammalia; Rodentia; Sciuridae. The record is from RNAcentral.